GAACAAGAACCUGCAGCAGGAGAUUUCCGACCUCACAGAGCAGAUUGCGGAGGGAGGAAAGGCAAUUCAUGAGCUGGAGAAAGUGAAGAAGCAGGUUGAGCAGGAGAAAUCUGAACUGCAAGCCUCCUUGGAGGAAGCUGAGGCCUCCCUGGAACAUGAGGU
Pyrgilauda ruficollis (rufous-necked snowfinch) is the source of this 162-nucleotide long non-coding RNA. RefSeq lists it as uncharacterized. The transcript is spliced from 3 exons. The record is from RefSeq and is a predicted model, not a curated record. Lineage: Eukaryota; Metazoa; Chordata; Aves; Passeriformes; Passeridae.